This is a long non-coding RNA of Vidua chalybeata, 820 nucleotides long. RefSeq lists it as uncharacterized. NCBI's taxonomy places the organism in Eukaryota, Metazoa, Chordata, Aves, Passeriformes, Viduidae. The transcript is spliced from 3 exons. The record is from RefSeq and is a predicted model, not a curated record.
UGUGCAUCUGUGCGUCCCCAUUUUGGUUUGCAAAAGGCCGUGCUGGGAGCUCUGCCUUAAGGUUAGAUGGUUCAUCCCACCACCUAACUACUUACCCUCAGUUGCAUUGAGUGGUUUUUCCCUUCUGGUUUAUAGCCUGGGCAAUACCACCCUGCUCAGACCUGCGUUGCAUGCAAGAUCCCCUUUGUUCUCCAGGAAAAGGGAACCACGAAGACAUGGCCUCUGUUGCCUCCCUUUCCCUUGCAAGUUACUGCAAUCUGCUCUAGAAAGGAUUGUGGUGAUGGAGGGCAAAGCCCCUGGUACCCUCAGCACCUGAUGGGUCACAUGGUGCUGCUGUAAGGAAAGCCAAAAAUGCCUGAUGGACAAGCAAAGGAGACGUGCAGGAGGGCUGCAAGAAAGGAGUUCCCUUCACCCAGCUUCAGGCCUCCUACUGAUGCACCUGUGGUGAGAAAGUGAGAGGACCAGGCUUUGCCAAGCACAACCACAGCAGCUGGAACAGCUUCUGGCAUUUCUGAUGGGCCGUCCAACAAAACAUGCUCAUGUAUGCACCACAGUCUCACAUAACUGAAGAAAGGACCAAAAAGCCAGCUUCUGUGUACUCAUCUCGUGUCCAAAAGCAACAGAAGUCUCCUACACACACCUUGGAAACGUGAAGGACUUCUCCCCAGAGUUUGGAUGCAAAUUCCACAGAUAUUUUCCCAGGAAUUGAGUUGAAAGGACCUUAUGUGUACUCCAUCAUCAAUUCCAUGCUAAGUUACAUUGACCCCUAAUCUAUACCAUUUCUUCACUAGCUGUAAUAAAGGUACCUUUUUAUCUACUA